GUCCACGCUGUAAACGAUGAGCACUAGGUGUCGCGGGUAUUGACCCCUGCGGUGCCGCAGCUAACGCAUUAAGUGCUCCGCCUGGGGACUACGGCCGCAAGGUUAAAACUCAAAGGAAUUGACGGGGGCCCGCACAAGCGGUGGAGCAUGUGGUUCAAUUCGACGCAACGCGAAGAACCUUACCUGGGCUAGACAACGGAGGCCCGCCUCAGAGAUGAGGCUUUCCCUUCGGGGACUUCCGGUUCAGGUGCUGCAUGGCUGUCGU
RNAcentral lists this ribosomal RNA (265 nucleotides) under uncultured bacterium. Its description in RNAcentral is "partial 16S ribosomal RNA". It matches the Rfam family "Bacterial small subunit ribosomal RNA", at positions 793 to 1055 of the family's 1533-position model. The record is from RNAcentral.